GGAAAAAACUGACAAUCUGGUCCAUUCUCAUUGUCAUUCUCGGUAUCUGCUCCAGAAAUACUCACCAUUAGAGUUACAUCAGAGUUGGUGUGGGAAACAGAACAGCAGGAGAAAACACCUGAAGAAGAAAACAUCAACUUACUGUAACUAACCAAGGUCAAAGGUGGUGGGCAAGGUGUGUGGCUACACUCUUAUUAAUUACGAUGAAAGGCUAUGCUGUUUGUGGCCGUUAUCGACAAGGAGACAUUUGAGGGGUUUCCCCCAUCUCUUUAUUACAAUUAUUAGGGAUGAUGACAUCAUCGUUGUAAUAUCUGUACAGACACCAGGUGCUUCAGAUCACUUGGAAGGAUGAGCUCCAGCACUCUCUCCUGAAGGACCUGGCUGAGAUUAAAGAUCUCCAGCUGGAUGUGUGUGGAUGGAUCCCACUGACCUCUCUACUCCUGUGGACAUCAGAGUUCCCGUCACCAGCCUGCAGACCUACAAGACCUUCCUGAGGACCGAGGACAUCUCUUACUCUGUCACAAUAAAGAUGGACAACUUUCUGAGCUGGGGAGGAAAGAGAGCUCAUCUGCCUUUCUUACGCCAGUCUUUAGUCAUUGUUAUUCUUCAAAAAGUAAUAACUGUACAGACUAUGACACCACCAAAGUUAUCCCCCUGACAAUCUAAUUAUUCUUGAAAGAACCAAGGAGAGCGAUCAGUGAUAUGAAACCUUUUGCCCCUUUUAUCUUAGGUUAUGUUGGAUGAGGAGUGGAGCAGAUGCUGAGUGCUCAUGCCGCUGAGCCCAGAAUACUGAUUACUACACCAAAUACCAUGUCAGUACCCAAUAACACUGCCGGGAAAGCCUCAGCAUCUAUUAUAACAUUGUCAUAAGAUUGCAAAAUAAAACUGUCAUAGGACUGCAUAAUAACUUUGCAGAAACUAUCUCUCUUGCACUGACUCUAUGCACAUACACUGGACUCUACCCACACACACAUACUUACAUUGACACCCCAACACACACACACUUUCACACUCACCGCUUAUGCUGCUGCAACUAUUAUCUAUCCUGUUGCCUAGUCACUUUACCUGUACUUAUAUGUACAGUACAUAGCUACCUCAAUGACCUCGUACCCCUGCACAUCGACUCGAUACUGGUACUCCCUGUAUAUAGCCAUCUUAUUUUCUAUUCCCUGUAUAUAGCCAUGUUAUUUUUAUUUGUUAUUCACUGUGUAUUUACUCCUAGUGCCACUAUUUCUAUUUUUCAUGAUUUAUUUUAUCUUUAACUCUGCAUAGUUGGAAAAUGACCAGUAAAUAAGCAUUUCACUGUUAGUCUACACAUGUUGUCUACGAAGCAUGUGACAAACAGCAUUUAAUUUAAUUUGAUAACUCUGUCAUAAGACUGCAUAAUAACUCUGUCAUAACAAUGUUAUUAUGCCUGUGUUAAAACUCCAGUCUUUGAUUCUAAUGUGAGAUUCUCUUACGAGCUGUAUCGCAAUAGAUCUACAGUUUCCAGGACAUGAUGGCUAAGAACCCCAACCUGGUGAGCAAGAUCGUGAUUGGCCAGAGCUUUGAGGGCCGCCCUAUGAAUGUACUCUAAGUCAUGUCAGUUCUAAAAUACUUUUUUUGGGUGUUUGAAGAUCACCAGGAUUUUAUUUGCAUCUGUAUUAAUGUAAAUACUCCACUUCUGUCUCUCAUAGUUCAGCACUGAAGGUACCAACCGUCCUGGCAUAUUGAUCAUAACUGGAAUCCACUCCAGAGAAUGGGUCACUCAGGUUAGCAGCACCUGGUUCACCAAGAGGUGAUUAACUUCUAGUCUCUUUCCUACCAGUCAGAGCCCCUGUUUUGAAUUUCUCCACAUGCU
Long non-coding RNA from Oncorhynchus keta (chum salmon), 1840 nucleotides. RefSeq lists it as uncharacterized. NCBI's taxonomy places the organism in Eukaryota, Metazoa, Chordata, Actinopteri, Salmoniformes, Salmonidae. The record is from RefSeq and is a predicted model, not a curated record. The transcript has 3 exons.